CCUACGGGAGGCAGCAGUGGGGAAUAUUGCACAAUGGGGGAAACCCUGAUGCAGCGACGCCGCGUGAGUGAAGAAGUAUUUCGGUAUGUAAAGCCCUAUCAGCAGGGAAGAAAAUGACGGUACCCACCGAGGAAGCACCGGCUAACUCCGUGCCAGCAGCCGCGGUAAUACGGAGGGUGCAAGCGUUGUCCGGAAUCAUUGGGCGUAAAGAGUUCGUAGGCGGCGUGUAAAGUCAGGUGUUAAAGGCUCAGGCUCAACCUGUGUAUGGCACUUGAUACUUGCAAGCUGGAAUGCGGUAGAGGUAAAGGGAAUUCCUGGUGUAGCGGUAAAAUGCUUAGAGAUCAGGAGGAACA
Molecule: ribosomal RNA, 353 nt
Filed under: uncultured bacterium
Lineage: Bacteria
Description: partial 16S ribosomal RNA
Rfam family: Bacterial small subunit ribosomal RNA
Source: RNAcentral